Molecule: long non-coding RNA, 629 nt
Filed under: Daucus carota (carrot)
Lineage: Eukaryota; Viridiplantae; Streptophyta; Magnoliopsida; Apiales; Apiaceae
Description: long non-coding RNA (DCAR_LNC007116)
Source: RNAcentral
AAAAUUAAAACACACAAAAGAAAGGGUGUAAAAGAGAAAGAAAAACCUAAAUCUAGGGUUCCCUAAAAAAAAUGAACUAGACCUUGCUCCUAACGUUAAGGACCACCAAAAACUCGAUAAAUCCAAAAUUAUUCGGACCGGUUUGGCCAGUUUGGAGCAGGCAUUGCCAAGAGGCCAAUCUCCGCGCUUAGACACCAAACCUUAAUCGGCCAGGUAAGCUUUCGCUUGCCUUAGACACCGAAAAGUCGGAAUAAUUAAAGAUUACCUCGUCUUUUAGGUACCUUCCUAGUUGAGCGCGAAAUCCUAGGGGCUAACGUCUAAUUCAAUUUUAUUAAAAGGCUAGGGAAUGCAAAAUGAAGAAUUAAGUCGUUGUGGGCCAAGGAAAGAGUAAUGAAAUCCCUUCCCUUAUCUUAUGAGUGGUUUUGCCCUUAAGAUUUAUUUAAAAUGAUGCACCACACAACGAGAUAAUUAAAGCGAUAAACAACUAUGGAUGCUUAAACUACGUGUCCUAAUCUAGAGAAAGAAAGAAAUUAACGCACCUUAGGGUCCUCCAGCGAUCACCACAAUUAAAGGUACGAAAAUUUAAAAACAAAAAUUAAAAUCUAAAUGAUGUGCCCUAAGUGUAAAAA